This 321-nucleotide ribosomal RNA is filed under the name uncultured bacterium. RNAcentral describes it as "bacterial SSU rRNA". It matches the Rfam family "Bacterial small subunit ribosomal RNA", at positions 84 to 422 of the family's 1533-position model. The record is from RNAcentral.
GCAAGACGUCAGCGGCAGACGGGAGAGUAACACGUGGGAACGUACCCUUCGGUUCGGAAUAACCCAGGGAAACUUGGGCUAAUACCGGAUACGUCCGUAAGGAGAAAGAUUUAUCGCCGAGGGAUCGGCCCGCGUCCGAUUAGCUAGUUGGUGGGGUAAUGGCCCACCAAGGCGACGAUCGGUAGCUGGUCUGAGAGGAUGAUCAGCCUCACUGGGACUGAGACACGGCCCAGACUCCUACGGGAGGCAGCAGUGGGGAAUAUUGGACAAUGGGCGCAAGCCUGAUCCAGCCAUGCCGCGUGGGUGAUGAAGGCCCUAGGG